Ribosomal RNA from Robiginitalea biformata HTCC2501, 112 nucleotides. The record is from Rfam. Lineage: Bacteria; Pseudomonadati; Bacteroidota; Flavobacteriia; Flavobacteriales; Flavobacteriaceae.
UCAGGUGGCUUUGGCGACGGGGUCCACCCCUUACCAUUCCGAACAGGGAAGUUAAGCCCGUCAGCGCCGAUGGUACUGCCUCACAAGGUGGGAGAGUAGGUCGCCGCCUCCU